UCGAACGGUGAAAGAGAGCUUGCUCUCUGGAUCAGUGGCGAACGGGUGAGUAACACGUGAGCAAUCUGCCCCUGACUCUGGGAUAACAGCUGGAAACAGCUGCUAAUACCGGAUACGAGCUGCGAAGGCAUCUUCAGCAGCUGGAAAGAAUUUCGGUCAGGGAUGAGCUCGCGGCCUAUCAGCUAGUUGGUGAGGUAAUGGCUCACCAAGGCGUCGACGGGUAGCCGGCCUGAGAGGGUGACCGGCCACACUGGGACUGAGACACGGCCCAGACUCCUACGGGAGGCAGCAGUGGGGAAUAUUGCACAAUGGGCGAAAGCCUGAUGCAGCAACGCCGCGUGAGGGACGACGGCCUUCGGGUUGUAAACCUCUUUUAGCAGGGAAGAAGCGAAAGUGACGGUACCUGCAGAAAAAGCGCCGGCUAACUACGUGCCAGCAGCCGCGGUAAUACGUAGGGCGCAAGCGUUAUCCGGAAUUAUUGGGCGUAAAGAGCUCGUAGGCGGUUUGUCGCGUCUGCUGUGAAAACCCGAGGCUCAACCUCGGGCCUGCAGUGGGUACGGGCAGACUAGAGUGCGGUAGGGGAGAUUGGAACUCCUGGUGUAGCGGUGGAAUGCGCAGAUAUCAGGAAGAACACCGAUGGCGAAGGCAGAUCUCUGGGCCGUAACUGACGCUGAGGAGCGAAAGGGUGGGGAGCAAACAGGCUUAGAUACCCUGGUAGUCCACCCCGUAAACGUUGGGAACUAGUUGUGGGGGUCCAUUCCACGGAUUCCGUGACGCAGCUAACGCAUUAAGUUCCCCGCCUGGGGAGUACGGCCGCAAGGCUAAAACUCAAAGGAAUUGACGGGGACCCGCACAAGCGGCGGAGCAUGCGGAUUAAUUCGAUGCAACGCGAAGAACCUUACCAAGGCUUGACAUAUACGAGAACGCUGCAGAAAUGUAGAACUCUUUGGACACUCGUAAACAGGUGGUGCAUGGUUGUCGUCAGCUCGUGUCGUGAGAUGUUGGGUUAAGUCCCGCAACGAGCGCAACCCUCGUUCUAUGUUGCCAGCACGUAAUGGUGGGAACUCAUGGGAUACUGCCGGGGUCAACUCGGAGGAAGGUGGGGAUGACGUCAAAUCAUCAUGCCCCUUAUGUCUUGGGCUUCACGCAUGCUACAAUGGCCGGUACAAAGGGCUGCAAUACCGUAAGGUGGAGCGAAUCCCAAAAAGCCGGUCCCAGUUCGGAUUGAGGUCUGCAACUCGACCUCAUGAAGUCGGAGUCGCUAGUAAUCGCAGAUCAGCAACGCUGCGGUGAAUACGUUCCCGGGUCUUGUACACACCGCCCGUCAAGUCAUGAAAGUCGGUAACACCUGAAGCCGGUGGCCCAACCCUUGGGAGGGA
Molecule: ribosomal RNA, 1379 nt
Filed under: Microbacterium sp. CC6A1
Lineage: Bacteria; Bacillati; Actinomycetota; Actinomycetes; Micrococcales; Microbacteriaceae
Description: bacterial SSU rRNA
Rfam family: Bacterial small subunit ribosomal RNA
Source: RNAcentral